Non-coding RNA from Theobroma cacao (cacao), 738 nucleotides. NCBI's taxonomy places the organism in Eukaryota, Viridiplantae, Streptophyta, Magnoliopsida, Malvales, Malvaceae. The record is from RefSeq and is a predicted model, not a curated record.
CCAAGGAAUGUCAAAAUAUCUUUGCCUUGAGAAAACCCACACCUUUGGAAAGAAAAAGAGAGAGAAUCAGCUUUGAAGCAAAGAGAGAAAGGAAAAAAGGAAGAAAGGAAGAAAGAAAGAAUGGAGAAAGAAGAAAAAGACAAGGAAGGUUUGACCUAGUGGUUCCAAGCUAAGGAAGGUAUGUAGAGCUUUGAUUUUAGUUGUGAUUUCUUGAGGAGAUGAGUUGGUAAUUGUGUGAGAAUGUUUAUGGCAACAAAGGUCCUCCAAGAAUUGAAAGAAAUAGAUCCAUGCUUAUGGGUCAAUCUUGGAAUCCAUGGUGAUUUUGAGCUAGAUAAGUUAUGGCAAUGGUUACCAUCAGUGUGAGGAAAUUGUGAGCUAUAUGUAUGAAAUUCAAGUUAAAACCGAAAGGAAGCGUAUAAGUAGAGAGGUUGCUAUGGUGGCGUGCCGGAGGAAGUAACAGGUGAUCAGCAAGUAGAAUUAGCUAGAUACGCAUCCGAGUCAAUAGCAAAGUAGUAUCCUGCUAUUGUGAGAUAGUGAUCGGCCUAAUGUGCAAUCAUCGGCACUUAUGGUUCACUGCGGAUAGGUAAAGGCAUCUUAUAGCAUUUCAUUCUGAGUUACUCCGUUGUUAGAGGUUGAGUCAUUUGUAGCAUAAUUUGAUUAUAAAUAGUAUUAAUGUAAAGGUAUGGUUGUAUAUUAAAAACCUUAAUGUACUUCUACAAUUAUGUUGAAUAAAAGUUG